This 536-nucleotide ribosomal RNA is filed under the name Sclerotinia sclerotiorum. RNAcentral describes it as "eukaryotic LSU rRNA". The stretch from base 189 to 342 matches the Rfam family "5.8S ribosomal RNA". Lineage: Eukaryota; Fungi; Ascomycota; Leotiomycetes; Helotiales; Sclerotiniaceae. The record is from RNAcentral.
AACAAGGUUUCCGUAGGUGAACCUGCGGAAGGAUCAUUACAGAGUUCAUGCCCGAAAGGGUAGACCUCCCACCCUUGUGUAUUAUUACUUUGUUGCUUUGGCGAGCUGCUCUUCGGGGCCUUGUAUGCUCGCCAGAGAAUAUCAAAACUCUUUUUAUUAAUGUCGUCUGAGUACUAUAUAAUAGUUAAAACUUUCAACAACGGAUCUCUUGGUUCUGGCAUCGAUGAAGAACGCAGCGAAAUGCGAUAAGUAAUGUGAAUUGCAGAAUUCAGUGAAUCAUCGAAUCUUUGAACGCACAUUGCGCCCCUUGGUAUUCCGGGGGGCAUGCCUGUUCGAGCGUCAUUUCAACCCUCAAGCUCAGCUUGGUAUUGAGUCCAUGUCAGUAAUGGCAGGCUCUAAAAUCAGUGGCGGCGCCGCUGGGUCCUGAACGUAGUAAUAUCUCUCGUUACAGGUUCUCGGUGUGCUUCUGCCAAAACCCAAAUUUUCUAUGGUUGACCUCGGAUCAGGUAGGGAUACCCGCUGAACUUAAGCAUAUC